Molecule: ribosomal RNA, 1466 nt
Filed under: Escherichia coli
Lineage: Bacteria; Pseudomonadati; Pseudomonadota; Gammaproteobacteria; Enterobacterales; Enterobacteriaceae
Description: partial 23S ribosomal RNA
Rfam family: Bacterial large subunit ribosomal RNA
Source: RNAcentral
CGGGACACGUGGUAUCCUGUCUGAAUAUGGGGGGACCAUCCUCCAAGGCUAAAUACUCCUGACUGACCGAUAGUGAACCAGUACCGUGAGGGAAAGGCGAAAAGAACCCCGGCGAGGGGAGUGAAAAAGAACCUGAAACCGUGUACGUACAAGCAGUGGGAGCACGCUUAGGCGUGUGACUGCGUACCUUUUGUAUAAUGGGUCAGCGACUUAUAUUCUGUAGCAAGGUUAACCGAAUAGGGGAGCCGAAGGGAAACCGAGUCUUAACUGGGCGUUAAGUUGCAGGGUAUAGACCCGAAACCCGGUGAUCUAGCCAUGGGCAGGUUGAAGGUUGGGUAACACUAACUGGAGGACCGAACCGACUAAUGUUGAAAAAUUAGCGGAUGACUUGUGGCUGGGGGUGAAAGGCCAAUCAAACCGGGAGAUAGCUGGUUCUCCCCGAAAGCUAUUUAGGUAGCGCCUCGUGAAUUCAUCUCCGGGGGUAGAGCACUGUUUCGGCAAGGGGGUCAUCCCGACUUACCAACCCGAUGCAAACUGCGAAUACCGGAGAAUGUUAUCACGGGAGACACACGGCGGGUGCUAACGUCCGUCGUGAAGAGGGAAACAACCCAGACCGCCAGCUAAGGUCCCAAAGUCAUGGUUAAGUGGGAAACGAUGUGGGAAGGCCCAGACAGCCAGGAUGUUGGCUUAGAAGCAGCCAUCAUUUAAAGAAAGCGUAAUAGCUCACUGGUCGAGUCGGCCUGCGCGGAAGAUGUAACGGGGCUAAACCAUGCACCGAAGCUGCGGCAGCGACGCUGAUGCGUUGUUGGGUAGGGGAGCGUUCUGUAAGCCUGUGAAGGUGUACUGUGAGGUAUGCUGGAGGUAUCAGAAGUGCGAAUGCUGACAUAAGUAACGAUAAAGCGGGUGAAAAGCCCGCUCGCCGGAAGACCAAGGGUUCCUGUCCAACGUUAAUCGGGGCAGGGUGAGUCGACCCCUAAGGCGAGGCCGAAAGGCGUAGUCGAUGGGAAACAGGUUAAUAUUCCUGUACUUGGUGUUACUGCGAAGGGGGGACGGAGAAGGCUAUGUUGGCCGGGCGACGGUUGUCCCGGUUUAAGCGUGUAGGCUGGUUUUCCAGGCAAAUCCGGAAAAUCAAGGCUGAGGCGUGAUGACGAGGCACUACGGUGCUGAAGCAACAAAUGCCCUGCUUCCAGGAAAAGCCUCUAAGCAUCAGGUAACAUCAAAUCGUACCCCAAACCGACACAGGUGGUCAGGUAGAGAAUACCAAGGCGCUUGAGAGAACUCGGGUGAAGGAACUAGGCAAAAUGGUGCCGUAACUUCGGGAGAAGGCACGCUGAUAUGUAGGUGAAGUCCCUCGCGGAUGGAGCUGAAAUCAGUCGAAGAUACCAGCUGGCUGCAACUGUUUAUUAAAAACACAGCACUGUGCAAACACGAAAGUGGACGUAUACGGUGUGACGCCUGCCCGGUGC